RNAcentral lists this ribosomal RNA (433 nucleotides) under uncultured bacterium. Its description in RNAcentral is "partial 16S ribosomal RNA". It matches the Rfam family "Bacterial small subunit ribosomal RNA", at positions 29 to 507 of the family's 1533-position model. The record is from RNAcentral.
AACGAACGCUGGCGGCAUGCCUAACACAUGCAAGUCGAACGAGACCUUCGGGUCUAGUGGCGCACGGGUGCGUAACGCGUGGGAACCUGCCCUUAGGUUCGGAAUAACUCCCCGAAAGGGGUGCUAAUACCGGAUAAUGUCUUCGGACCAAAGAUUUAUCGCCUUUGGAUGGGCCCGCGUUGGAUUAGCUAGUUGGUAGGGUAAAAGCCUACCAAGGCGACGAUCCAUAGCUGGUCUGAGAGGAUGAUCAGCCACACUGGGACUGAGACACGGCCCAGACUCCUACGGGAGGGAGCAGUGGGGAAUAUUGGACAAUGGGCGAAAGCCUGAUCCAGCAAUGCCGCGUGAGUGAUGAAGGCCUUAGGGUUGUAAAGCUCUUUUACCCGGGAUGAUAAUGACAGUACCGGGAGAAUAAGCUCCGGCUAACUCCGUG